UUCUUUGGAGAGUUUGAUCCUGGCUCAGGACGAACGCUGGCGGCGUGCCUAAUACAUGCAAGUCGAGCGGACCGGGCGGGAGCUUGCUUCCGCCUGGUUAGCGGCGGACGGGUGAGUAACACGUGGGUAACCUGCCCGUAAGACCGGGAUAACUCCGGGAAACUGGGGCUAAUACCGGAUAACACCGAAGACCGCAUGGUCUUCGGUUGAAAGGCGGCUUCGGCUGCCACUUACGGAUGGGCCCGCGGCGCAUUAGCUAGUUGGUGAGGUAACGGCUCACCAAGGCG
RNAcentral lists this ribosomal RNA (287 nucleotides) under Parageobacillus thermoglucosidasius. Its description in RNAcentral is "partial 16S ribosomal RNA". It matches the Rfam family "Bacterial small subunit ribosomal RNA", at positions 1 to 275 of the family's 1533-position model. Lineage: Bacteria; Bacillati; Bacillota; Bacilli; Caryophanales; Anoxybacillaceae. The record is from RNAcentral.